Molecule: transfer RNA, 72 nt
Filed under: Luteibacter sp.
Lineage: Bacteria; Pseudomonadati; Pseudomonadota; Gammaproteobacteria; Lysobacterales; Rhodanobacteraceae
Description: tRNA-Thr
Rfam family: tRNA
About the family: Transfer RNA (tRNA) molecules are approximately 80 nucleotides in length.
Source: RNAcentral
GCGACGGUAGCUCAGUGGCAGAGUGCUGAUCGACAAGUGAUGCGGUCGCUGGUUCGAAUCCAGCCCGUCGCC